Molecule: long non-coding RNA, 483 nt
Filed under: Malus domestica (apple)
Lineage: Eukaryota; Viridiplantae; Streptophyta; Magnoliopsida; Rosales; Rosaceae
Description: long non-coding RNA (MDOM_LNC005078)
Source: RNAcentral
AGGUUAGGGUUGCAGGACGUAUGCUUCAUCUUUCUUUCUUUUUUCUCUCUUUCCCGAUCCAAACGUCUCUUUCCUUUCGUUGUGGUAUUUCGGUAUAAUUGUAUUAAUAGUACGAUUGUCUACGAUUUGUAUGACAGGUUUUCAAAGGGGGUUGCUUCUCAGAGAAAUAGUAGGAAGAAAUAAAAGAUAUGGAGAGUUAUUCUUUUCUAGUUUUGUAUCUGUCACCAUCGACCGAAUUUCGACCAUUUGUAAUUCCAGCACAUCCGGCAUCAUUUUGUUGUGCUUGUUCAUAAGCCCUGUGGCCUGAAGGGAAUUUGAUGCAUCUUUUUAUCUGUUUUCUCUUGACAUGCGUCCUCGAGUAGUGGGAUGGGAAAAAUGAUGAGAGUUUUGUUGUCUUUAAAGAUUACCCUUCAUAAAUUAAAAUUGAUAGAUUCUGUUUCGUAGUUUUCUUUGCAUCCCCAUUAAUUAAAUAAAACACUCGAU